AAUCACACGCAACACACACACUGGCACCUAAAACACACACUACACACACCAUUUUCCAUUUAAGCUUGGACGGAGCUUUUGACUUCCGAUUUGAGCACCGAGACGAGCGCCGAUCAUCUUUUCGAUCACGUAUCUAAGUAGGUCCUUUUGGGAAGUAACGACUUGAGGGAGAGAGUGACGUUACUCAUUGAUACAGAGACACAACGAGGUUGAGCUGAUGUGAUGAUGGUGCUGCAAUGAGCGGAGUCUCCAGGGUUGUUAAUAAAUAGUUAACCUGUCUAGAAUAUGUCUUCAUACAUAUGUCUAGCUACUUUCCGCUGCAAGAUGUUGUUGAUGUUAUAGUAUGUUAUGUCAUACUUUGAGUCUUAAGAGAAUGGUUUCAUACGAUGUAUAACUUGAUUAAUGAUAUUAAUUAAGUUUUAUGCUGUCUUUCA
Molecule: long non-coding RNA, 434 nt
Organism: Salvia miltiorrhiza (redroot sage)
Lineage: Eukaryota; Viridiplantae; Streptophyta; Magnoliopsida; Lamiales; Lamiaceae
Exons: 3
Source: RefSeq, a predicted model, not a curated record